GAUGAACGCUGGCGGCGUGCUUAACACAUGCAAGUCGAACGAAGCACUUUGAUCGAUUUCUUCGGAUUGAAAUUUUAGUGACUGAGUGGCGGACGGGUGAGUAACGCGUGGGUAACCUGCCUCACACAGGGGGAUAACAGUUGGAAACGGCUGCUAAUACCGCAUAAGCGCACAGUACCGCAUGGUACAGUGUGAAAAACUCCGGUGGUGUGAGAUGGACCCGCGUCUGAUUAGCUAGUUGGCAGGGCAACGGCCUACCAAGGCGACGAUCAGUAGCCGACCUGAGAGGGUGACCGGCACAUUGGGACUGAGACACGGCCCAAAACUCCUACGGGAGCAGCAGUGGGGAAUAUUGGCACAAUGGGGGAAACCCUGAUGCAGCGACGCCGCGUGAGCGAAGAAGUAUUUCGGAUGUAAAGCUCUAUCAGCAGG
This 432-nucleotide ribosomal RNA is filed under the name uncultured bacterium. Its description in RNAcentral is "bacterial SSU rRNA". It matches the Rfam family "Bacterial small subunit ribosomal RNA", at positions 28 to 443 of the family's 1533-position model. The record is from RNAcentral.